GCAGGACAGUGUGUGGUCCGAGGAGGGACUCUGUGGCUCCUUUUUAAUCUUAGCAGGAGGACUGUGAAAAGCUACUGUGGGAGAGAAAUGAAAGACCAAGUUGACACUUCCCAUGGAAGUGGUUGA
Molecule: long non-coding RNA, 126 nt
Organism: Aquila chrysaetos chrysaetos
Lineage: Eukaryota; Metazoa; Chordata; Aves; Accipitriformes; Accipitridae
Exons: 3
Source: RefSeq, a predicted model, not a curated record